CCCCUCUCAAGGUCUCACCUGGAGAGUUGCCAGUACUCUACUAGUCUCGGCUACGGGAGGGAGAGUCAAACAGAGGCCUGUCCAUUCCAUUCCUAGCUUGGGCAGUGGCUAGCGAGCGGAAGGCCCUCUGCUACGAGU
This 138-nucleotide small nucleolar RNA is filed under the name Ornithorhynchus anatinus (platypus). Lineage: Eukaryota; Metazoa; Chordata; Mammalia; Monotremata; Ornithorhynchidae. The record is from RNAcentral.